GGGUCAGUAGGUUGGUCGUGCCACCGGUACGUACUGGUCUCACUGAUUCCUCCUUCCUGAAGAACCGUAAUGCCAUUAAUUUGGUGUUGCGGGGAAACAGGACUGUUACUUUGAAAAAAUUAGGGUGUUUAAAGCAAGCUAACGCUUGAAUACGUUAGCAUGGAAUAAUGAAAUAGGACGAUCGAUCCUAUUUUGUUGGUUUCUAGGAUUGACGUA
Molecule: ribosomal RNA, 216 nt
Filed under: Glomeromycotina sp.
Lineage: Eukaryota; Fungi; Glomeromycota
Description: partial small subunit ribosomal RNA
Rfam family: Eukaryotic small subunit ribosomal RNA (bases 40-216)
Source: RNAcentral